GACGGAGGGGGCUAGCGUUGUUCGGAAUGACUGGGCGUAAAGGGCGCGUAGGCGGUCGAUCAAGUCAGGCGUGAAAGCCUCGGGCUUAACCCGAGAACUGCGCUUGAUACUGGUUGACUUGAGGACGAGAGAGGAAAGUGGAAUUCCGAGUGUAGAGGUGAAAUUCGUAGAUAUUCGGAGGAACAUCAGAGGCGAAGGCGGCUUUCUGGCUCGUAACUGACGCUGAGGCGCGAAAGCGUGGGGAGCAAACAGG
RNAcentral lists this ribosomal RNA (253 nucleotides) under uncultured bacterium. RNAcentral's name for it is "partial 16S ribosomal RNA". It matches the Rfam family "Bacterial small subunit ribosomal RNA", at positions 524 to 776 of the family's 1533-position model. The record is from RNAcentral.